UUAAAUUGAAGAGUUUGAUCAUGGCUCAGAUUGAACGCUGGCGGCAGGCCUAACACAUGCAAGUCGAGCGGCAGCGGGAAGUAGUUUACUACUUCGCCGGCGAGCGGCGG
RNAcentral lists this ribosomal RNA (110 nucleotides) under Yersinia kristensenii. RNAcentral describes it as "partial 16S ribosomal RNA". It matches the Rfam family "Bacterial small subunit ribosomal RNA", at positions 1 to 101 of the family's 1533-position model. The record is from RNAcentral. Lineage: Bacteria; Pseudomonadati; Pseudomonadota; Gammaproteobacteria; Enterobacterales; Yersiniaceae.